AUGCAGAGCCGAGAUGCCAAUAGGACAUCAAGAAAGGCCUGCUGGGACCCUGAAGACCCACUCAGGUCCAGCAAGAGCUGCUGUGUUAGCAGAGCAACACUUGAAUCGCCCCCCCCCCCCCAAUCCCCCAACAGAGAAGCAUUUGCUUGCCUCAGGGAAUACUCAGCUUCUAACAAUUGCACGCACUGUGUUUUUCACCCCAUGUUAGCAACAAGAUGGCUUUGGUGCAGCUUUCCGGUCACUAAUCGACUCGAACACUGCGCUCAAGACAGAGGGUUACCAACAUCCAGAACUUCUGAUGCUGGACCAUGGAGGGGAGAUCUUUAAGACUCUACACUACCUCAGCAACCUCAUUCAAAGCAUCAAAAGACCCCUGGGAACCAAGGAGAACCCUGCACGCAUCUGUCGAGACCUCAUGAACUGUGAACAGAAGAUGAAYGAUGGUACCUACUGGAUUGACCCAAAUCUUGGCUGUUCCUCGGACACCAUACAGGUCAUCUGUAACUUCACCAAUGGUGGACAGACAUGUCUCAACCCCAUCACUGUCUCCAAGCUGGAUUUUGACAUCGGUAGAGUCCAGAUGAACUUCCUUCGCCUUCUGAGCUCAGAGGUGGUCCAGCACAUAACCAUCCACUGCCUGAAUACCUCCGUGUGGCGGGAAGGCUCAUCUGAAAAACCUUCAGAAAAAGCCGUGCGCUUUAAGGCCUGGAAUGGACAGAUGUUUGAGGCAGGAGGGCAGCUCAAGCCAGAAGUGGCAGCUGACGAUUGCAAGAUCAAGGAUGGGCGCUGGCAUCGGACCCUCUUUUCGUUUCGGACCCAGGACCCUCACCAGCUGCCAAUCGUCAACAUCUACAACCUUCCCCCAUCCGAGCCAGGAAAGCAGUAUCACCUCGAGGUCGGCCCCGUGUGCUUCCUUUGAACAAAGCCAUCAAAACUGGGCUCCAAGGCUUUGCCCCCCCGUUUUUGGCCUACGUCUUUACACAGGGUCUCCCACCUCUCCGCGGCGAGGACAGCUGGGCUGUACCAUUUGGGUCAGCUGUUGCUCUAGCCAUUGGCUCAAGGUCUCAAAGAACCCGUGAUCUACUGAACUCAGCAGAUUCUUGAAAGGAGGAAUAACAAGGCCGUAGGGGAAGCGGGUGUCAGUCGGGACGCGAACAGUGAAAAGGGAUCAGGGGACUAGAUGUUGCAAGCAGGUCCACACACAAAGCUUUUUCCAUGACCAAAGAAGAAAAUAUUGAGAGAAACCUCAAGAAACUUGCAGCGUGCAUUGUUGGGUUUUGUUUUGUUUUGUUUUUGUCCCUCUUUUUUGUCUUACCUGGUUCCUGAGUUACCAAAUGUUCUUUCCAUUGAAAAGUAAUUAAAUGAUAGAGCUUCCCUCUCAGAGCUUGUCGCCUUCUGGACGGCCACGUGCUGCAUCAGGCUCUCCCAGGCGGAGCUGCAAGUUGAAUCUGGCUGCUCUGUGUGCCAGAAGCAUUUUGAUGUGCAAUAUUAGAAGAAACAAAAAAAAUAUAUAUUAUAUUAUUUAAAGCAAAAAGAAAAAAAAAGAACAAAAAAAAACUAAGUUCCUCCUUCCAUGGGUGAGUUUAAUAAAUGUCCCUUCUCAUGUGUGGUGUCGGGGUAG
This 1621-nucleotide long non-coding RNA is filed under the name Dromaius novaehollandiae (emu). Its description in RNAcentral is "lncRNA (ENSDNVG00000019104.1)". Lineage: Eukaryota; Metazoa; Chordata; Aves; Casuariiformes; Dromaiidae. The record is from RNAcentral.